Molecule: unclassified non-coding RNA, 306 nt
Filed under: plant metagenome
Description: partial contains 5.8S ribosomal RNA, internal transcribed spacer 2, and large subunit ribosomal RNA
Rfam family: 5.8S ribosomal RNA (bases 1-105)
Source: RNAcentral
GAAAUGCGAUAAGUAGUGUGAAUUGCAGAAUUCAGUGAAUCAUCGAAUCUUUGAACGCACAUUGCGCCCCUUGGUAUUCCAUGGGGCAUGCCUGUUCGAGCGUCAUUUGUACUCUCAGCUUUGCUUGGUGUUGGGUGCUUUGUCUAUCCCUUUGCGUUUAGACUCACCUCAAAACAAUUGGCAGCCAGUGUAUUGGUAUAGAAGCGCAGCACAAUUUGUGCCUCUAGCUGGUCAUUACUGGCGUCCACAAGCCUAUUUUAACAUGCUUGACCUCGGAUCAGGUAGGGAUACCCGCUGAACUUAAGC